GACGAACGCUGGCGGCGUGCUUAACACAUGCAAGUCGAACGGAAAGGCCCUGCUUUUGUGGGGUGCUCGAGUGGCGAACGGGUGAGUAACACGUGAGUAACCUGCCCUUGACUUUGGGAUAACUUCAGGAAACUGGGGCUAAUACCGGAUAGGAGCUCCUGCUGCAUGGUGGGGGUUGGAAAGUUUCGGCGGUUGGGGAUGGACUCGCGGCUUAUCAGCUUGUUGGCGGGGUAGCGGCUUACCAAGGCUUUGACGGGUAGCCGGCCUGAGAGGGUGACCGGCCACAUUGGGACUGAGAUACGGCCCAGACUCCUACGGGAGGCAGCAGUGGGGAAUAUUGCACAAUGGGCGGAAGCCUGAUGCAGCAACGCCGCGUGCGGGAUGACGGCCUUCGGGUUGUAAACCGCUUUCGCCUGUGACGAAGCGUGAGUGACGGUAAUGGGUAAAGAAGCACCGGCUAACUACGUG
This 468-nucleotide ribosomal RNA is filed under the name uncultured bacterium. Its description in RNAcentral is "partial 16S ribosomal RNA". It matches the Rfam family "Bacterial small subunit ribosomal RNA", at positions 28 to 507 of the family's 1533-position model. The record is from RNAcentral.